RNAcentral lists this ribosomal RNA (497 nucleotides) under uncultured bacterium. RNAcentral's name for it is "partial 16S ribosomal RNA". It matches the Rfam family "Bacterial small subunit ribosomal RNA", at positions 28 to 507 of the family's 1533-position model. The record is from RNAcentral.
GAUGAACGCUGGCGGCGUGCCUAAUACAUGCAAGUCGAGCGAACAGACGAGGAGCUUGCUCCUCUGACGUUAGCGGCGGACGGGUGAGUAACACGUGGAUAACCUACCUAUAAGACUGGGAUAACUUCGGGAAACCGGAGCUAAUACCGGAUAAUAUAUUGAACCGCAUGGUUCACUAGUGAAAGACGGUUUUGCUGUCACUUAUAGAUGGAUCCGCGCCGCAUUAGCUAGUUGGUAAGGUAACGGCUUACCAAGGCAACGAUGCGUAGCCGACCUGCGAGGGUGAGCGGCCACACUGGAACGGAGACACGGUCCAGACUCCUACGGGAGGCAGCAGUAGGGAAUCUUCCGCAAUGGGCGAAAGCCUGACGGAGCAACGCCGCGUGAGUGAUGAAGGGCUUCGGAUCGUAAAACUCUGUUAUUAGGGAAGAACAAAUGUGUAAGGAACUAUGCGCGUCUUGACGGUACCUAAUCAGAAAGCCACGGCUAACUACGUG